CUGUGAUGAACCCCUAGAUGACGAGUCUCAUCUGGUUUUGCCAAUGCAGACAACCUUUUUUUUAUUUACCAUUCAUGCAUAACUGAUC
This is a non-coding RNA of Hortaea werneckii EXF-2000, 88 nucleotides long. The record is from Rfam. Lineage: Eukaryota; Fungi; Ascomycota; Dothideomycetes; Mycosphaerellales; Teratosphaeriaceae.